AAUCCAGCGUAGAGUUGCUCUUUAAAAAAUCCAGCGCAGACCUCUCCCUCAUCCCCUUCUCUCUCGCCCCUUCUCCGAUUUGGCUUUCCUCUACUGACCAAGUGCUGCCUAUGGGAGCUGUUCCGGCAACGGUGGAUGGAUGUCUAUGUCUAGCUAGCUCUGCCUGUUGUCAGAAAGAUCCACUCAAUCAAUUGGACAUCCUGCUUCAAGAGUCGUGGCUUUUUGUGAAAGCUGCAAAUCAAGAUUCAUGACGGCCACCCUGCUCAUGGGCGAUGCGUGAUUGUGCGCACUCGGAUGGAUCUGGCUCUUCCUUACAAGUUACAUUGCCACCAGAUAGGGAAAUAUCGAUGUGAAGCUAUUAACGGGUGACCAGUGUCAUUUUGGCUGACAUGCAUAAGCGUCGUCACCUAUUUUGCUGUUAACUCUUUGAAGGGAUAUAAUGUCUACAGGCUUGAGAAAAAAUGGGCAAACAAGAUAACCCCAAAACUCUCUUCACCUGACCGAAAUGAAGAGGACAUUUUCGGUCAUGUGGAACUAUGGUAGUGAUAAAAAAAGAGCACAUGCUUGCGGGCUGUACUGAAGCACAAGUAGAAACAAUCAUCCUCACAUUAGAAUCACUCAACAGCAAUGCAGACCUCGCAUUAGAAUCACUCAACAGAAAUGCAGAGAUAUUGUGAAUUGUAAUUGUCAGGCUGUAGUAGCUUUGUUAAAUAAAAACACUUUGAUCCUAAAUUUCAACCAGGUAUGAUUUGGAUCUGCUAUAAUAUACGUUAGAGAAGUGCCAUGUGAUGUUAAAUUCACUGCUCCGAAUGCAAGAUCUCUCAAAGAAUGUGUAAUGAGAAUGUAAGUCCACUUUCCUAGAGAACCUUUGACUACUAAAUGCCUAUUUCAGAAGGAAACUCUGAUGUAUAUCAUGCAGCAUUUUUUUUAUGCGAAUCUUGUAACACUCUUUUUGUAACAAUAUAAUAAAGCUAGAGAAAAGGAGCAGGAUUUAGUUA
Lolium rigidum is the source of this 998-nucleotide long non-coding RNA. RefSeq lists it as uncharacterized. The record is from RefSeq and is a predicted model, not a curated record. Lineage: Eukaryota; Viridiplantae; Streptophyta; Magnoliopsida; Poales; Poaceae. The transcript is spliced from 3 exons.